AUUGAACGCUGGCGGCAUGCUUUACACAUGCAAGUCGAACGGUAACAGGCCGCAAGGUGCUGACGAGUGGCGAACGGGUGAGUAAUGCAUCGGAACGUGCCCAGUCGUGGGGGAUAACUACUCGAAAGAGUAGCUAAUACCGCAUACGAUCUAUGGAUGAGAGCGGGGGACCGUAAGGCCUCGCGCGAUUGGAGCGGGCGAUGUCCGAUUAGGUAGUUGGUGGGGUAAAGGCUCACCAAGCCCACGAUCUGUAGCUGGUCUGAGAGGACGACCGGCCACACUGGAACUGAGACACGGCCCAGACUCCUACGGGAGGCAGCAGUGGGGAAUUUUGGACAAUGGGCGCAAGCCUGAUCCAGCAAUGCCGCGUGCAGGAAGAAGGCCUUCGGGUUGUAAACUGCUUUUGUACGGAACGAAACGGCUCUGGUUAAUACCCGGGGCUAAUGACGGUACCGUAAGAAUAAGCACCGGCUAACUACGUG
RNAcentral lists this ribosomal RNA (482 nucleotides) under uncultured bacterium. RNAcentral's name for it is "partial 16S ribosomal RNA". It matches the Rfam family "Bacterial small subunit ribosomal RNA", at positions 30 to 507 of the family's 1533-position model. The record is from RNAcentral.